AGAGUUUGAUCAUGGCUCAGAACGAACGCUGGCGGCGUGGAUAAGACAUGCAAGUCGAGCGGAACAUUUUGAGUAGCAAUAUUCGGAAUGUUUAGCGGCGAAAGGGUGCGUAACACGUAGCUCACCUACCUCAAAGUGGGGGAUAGCUCGGCGAAAGCCGAAUUAAUACCGCAUGUGGUCGCAAGACCAAAGCUGGGGAUCGUAAGACCUGGCGCUUUGAGAUGGGGCUGCGGCCUAUCAGCUAGUUGGCGGGGUAACGGCCCACCAAGGCUUAGACGGGUAGCUGGUCUGAGAGGACGACCAGCCACACUGGAACUGAGACACGGUCCAGACACCUACGGGUGGCAGCAGUCGAGGAUUUUUCUCAAUGGGGGAAACCCUGAAGGAGCGACGCCGCGUGGGGGAUGAAGGUCUUCGGAUUGUAAACCCCUGUCAUCUGGGAACAAUGAUUACGACCUAACACGUCGUAAUUUGAUAGUACCGGAAGAGGAAGCCGUGGCUAACUCUGUGCCAGCAGCCGCGGUAAUACAGAGACGGCAAGCGUUGUUCGGAUUCAUUGGGCGUAAAGGGUGCGCAGGCGGUCCGUUAAGUCGGAUGUGAAAUCUCAUAGCUUAACUAUGAUAGGUCAUUCGAAACUGGCGGACUCGAGGACUGGAGAGGAGACUGGAAUGGUCGGUGUAGCGGUGAAAUGCGUAGAGAUCGACCAGAACACCGGUGGCGAAGGCGGGUCUCUGGACAGUUCCUGACGCUCAGGCACGAAAGCCAGGGGAGCAAACGGGAUUAGAUACCCCGGUAGUCCUGGCCCUAAACGGUGUUCACUUGGUGUGCGGGGAGUCGACCCCCUGCGUGCCGAAGCCAACGCGUUAAGUGAACCGCCUGGGAAGUACGACCGCAAGGUUAAAACUCAAAGGAAUUGACGG
RNAcentral lists this ribosomal RNA (920 nucleotides) under uncultured bacterium. Its description in RNAcentral is "bacterial SSU rRNA". It matches the Rfam family "Bacterial small subunit ribosomal RNA", at positions 8 to 916 of the family's 1533-position model. The record is from RNAcentral.